Molecule: long non-coding RNA, 548 nt
Organism: Pseudopipra pipra
Lineage: Eukaryota; Metazoa; Chordata; Aves; Passeriformes; Pipridae
Exons: 3
Source: RefSeq, a predicted model, not a curated record
ACCCCAGAGGGCUUGUCUAAGGAGAAAUUAGAAUUGCACAGCAGCUAAAGUCCCCCUGUAUAUAUGGCUGACUUUGGUAACUCAUUUCUUUGCAGUGUCAGAGGGACUGGAUGUAAAGCAGAGAUGAACAGAAGAGGCUGGAGGAGCACAGUCAGAAGAUGCAGAGCCCUCAGCCCAGCAGAUGACAGGCACCAGAGGGAAGGUGAGCCUGGUGAGCAAGGUGAGCAGUGACUGCAGGACAAAACUAGCUGCUCUUUUGCAGGUGGUGUACUUGUGGUGAAUCUGUGUACAUACUUGUUUUUUUGUUUUCCAGGCAAUGCACCGACUUCUAACAUACAGUCCAACGUGACGGGGACCCUGCCUGUAAGAGGAGACGUAUGAAGCCUCACAGGGCUGAAGCCAACUCACAGUGAGGUGACGGACACGGUUUGGUCCUCUGGAGCUGUCCUUGUAGGUAAUCUCCGAGUAUUGAAAGGAUCAGCAAUGAAGGAUUGAGCUUUUUUGAUUGCAGGUGCCAUCCAGCUAACCUUUGGGAGCAGAUGAGCGUU